This is a long non-coding RNA of Lagopus muta (rock ptarmigan), 1388 nucleotides long. RefSeq lists it as uncharacterized. NCBI's taxonomy places the organism in Eukaryota, Metazoa, Chordata, Aves, Galliformes, Phasianidae. The transcript has 5 exons. The record is from RefSeq and is a predicted model, not a curated record.
GCAGUGGAGGAAAAGGUAUUUUGCUGGAGAUUCCUGUCUAUCUGAGGCCUUCUUAGGUUUCCUUCAGCUGAUUGAAAAGAUUCUGUAAGUGAACCUUUCUGGUUCUUCCCUGUUGCAGCAAGCAUCAGAUGAGUGACUGCAUGGGGAACAAAGACCGUAUUCUGCAUCUUCAGACUGCAAGUCCAUCCGUGAAUUCAAGAGUGUGGCAGGCCGUAUGGCUUGAAGUAUAAAAGCACCAGGAGCAGAUGCAUAAGGAAUUUCCCUGUUGCAUCUCCAUCUAAAUUAUCAUCAAUGAUCUUUCAAAAGGAAUCGACCCCCCUCCUCCCCAAAGUAUUUUGAAGGAGAGAAGAAAGUAUCCGUCAGUGGUUUAGGACUAAAACAUCUAAGAGAACUUCUGGUGAAGGUGAAUUUGUGAAGGUAUCUCCAUUCUACCCACAACAACUGUUUGUCUUUUUUUCCUGGCUUCACGUUCCUAUUCCCUACAGCUUCACUGUGAUGGGUAAAUUGACAGCCUGACACAUAUCCUAGAUAAAAGAAACAACUAGCAAAGCCCUUCUUCUGGACCUGUAAUAUAGGGCCAGCUCUGCAAAUAAAUAACCUACUGACUGGUUCAGCAUGCUGAUGUGGAAAAGCUGAUCUCACUUGAAGAGUUCUUCGUGAGUUUCCCACAAACAAGUAAGCAGAGCAAAUAUAUCUGAGUAGCAGGUGCAGUACUUUGGAUCCAUUUGGACAGAUGUAUGUGAAGACAACCCAAGGCUGUCCUGUUUCCACAGUGGAGUGUUUAAAGCAGCUCUCCAUCACAAUAGCCAAAGAAGAGAAAAACAUCAUUUUGAUUCCUAUUUUUUCCCCCCAGUCCUGUUUGUAAUUCCUUCAGGGAUUAGCUGGAAUUUGACUCUGUCAGUCUUCUCUCUCUUUUUGCCUACUAAAAAAUAUUACCAUGUCAAGGAAUGCAGAAACCUUGCUCCCUUUGGCAUGAAAACUUUUGCAUAACCAAUGUGAUCUGUGCCAUUACACUUGAGCAGGAUUGUGCAUGUACAAUGCAAUAAAAAAAAAUUGAAAAGAAAUUUCAAUGACAAACCCCUUGGAAAAGAUUGCUUUGAUAUCCUGUCAUAUGUAUAAUUUCAGUAUUUUUUUUCUCCCCAGUGAUUUAAAUUAAUUUGAAUCAAAUCAUUAGGCCCCAGACUGGUACUGAACAUAAUGACUCAUCCCUAAAUUAAUAUUGUCUACCCUGAACUACUCCUGUCUAAAUCACUGAAAGACUCACGCUACUCACAAAGUCAGCUACAUUCAAAUGAGUUCUGCAACAGUUCAUUAGGUAAUGAUGUAAUUUAUGUGCCUGGGCCAGCAAAGGUUUUUUGCUCUGGCUUAAAAUGGACAAAGUAUGGGUA